This 442-nucleotide ribosomal RNA is filed under the name uncultured bacterium. RNAcentral describes it as "bacterial SSU rRNA". It matches the Rfam family "Bacterial small subunit ribosomal RNA", at positions 29 to 507 of the family's 1533-position model. The record is from RNAcentral.
AACGAACGCUGGCGGCAGGCCUAACACAUGCAAGCGAGGGGGAAGCCACUUUCGGGUGGUGGAGACCGGCGCACGGGUGAGUAACGCGUGGGCAUCUGCCCUGGGUGGGGGAUAACCGCUGGAAACGGCGGCUAAUACCGCAUACGCCUUGAGAGGGAAAGAGUUUAUCGCCCUGGGAUGAGCCCGCGUUGGAUUAGCUUGUUGGUGAGGUAAAGGCUCACCAAGGCGACGAUCCAUAGCUGGUCUGAGAGGAUGAUCAGCCACACUGGGACUGAGACACGGCCCAGACUCCUACGGGAGGCAGCAGUGGGGAAUAUUGGACAAUGGGGGCAACCCUGAUCCAGCCAUGCCGCGUGUGUGAAGAAGGCCUUAGGGUUGUAAAGCACUUUCACCGGUGAAGAUGAUGACGGUAGCCGGAGAAGAAGCCCCGGCUAACUCCGUG